This 208-nucleotide long non-coding RNA is filed under the name Elaeis guineensis (African oil palm). RNAcentral describes it as "long non-coding RNA (EGUI_LNC057403)". The record is from RNAcentral. Lineage: Eukaryota; Viridiplantae; Streptophyta; Magnoliopsida; Arecales; Arecaceae.
GGCCAUUGAUCAGUGCUUCUGAUCUCCUAUUCAAAGUCAGGAGCAUCCUCAACCGUUGGAUUGCAUGAUGGAUCACUUCUGGACCGUCGGAUCGUGCAAAAGAGUCUUUUUAUAAACCAGCAAUGAACAGCAACCGUUGGAUCUAAGUCGGAUUGAAUCUCAACCAUUGGAUCUCACCUAGGAUCUUUCUCUCGCUGUGAACCGUGCC